This is a long non-coding RNA of Oreochromis aureus, 2782 nucleotides long. RefSeq lists it as uncharacterized. The transcript has 2 exons. NCBI's taxonomy places the organism in Eukaryota, Metazoa, Chordata, Actinopteri, Cichliformes, Cichlidae. The record is from RefSeq and is a predicted model, not a curated record.
GAAGAGGUAACAUUAUUAACAAGAUAAUCGACCUCUGUUGGAGUAGCGUUCAGAUAGCUGCUCUGCUCUGUGUUGGUACAGGUCAUUGAAGAAGAUAACAGUGGGUGGAUUAUAUCCUUAACCUUAGUUACAACACUUUCAGAAAAACAUCUACUGUGAUGACAUCUAUUUCUCACUGCUGUCUAAUCAAUUAUUGUAAAUGUAAAUGUUCUCAUGUUCACUGUUUGCCUGCUGUAUCAGGAAUAAAUGAAAAUAAGAUGAAUUAUCUCAGCUUUUUUUAGCUCAGCAAUAUUAAUGAUCAGCUUUGAAUGCCAAAUAAGGUUUUGGAGGGCCAGAUACAUUAAUUGAUUUAUUUAAUUACUUAUUGAUUCUUUGAUUUUAAAAUGCAUCGUCACAGUUUGGAAAUAUAAAACAUCUUGCAGGAGCCAAGAGUCUUCGUCAGCAGUGAAAACACAGGGCGUCAUAAGAGGAAUGAGAAAAAUGUCAAAUCCAGCCAAUGGAGCAGAGUUUGGGCGGGCCUUUCAGCAGGAAACUGAAGGAAUGAAGUGGUUUCUGUUUAACCGGUCAAGGCGCACACGUCUGCUGAGUUUACUGACUUCUGUUAAACACAGUUUCCUGUUUGUUUUUUAAAAGUUUACCAGAAAUUAAAUGCACGACUUCCUGCAUGUGAUCACACGUAUUGAUCAUCUGGCACACUCUCUCUCUCUCUCUCUCUCUCUCACACACACACACACACACACACACACACACACAGAAAAACACAUGCACAGCAAAAAAAUGAAAUUAAAUGGAGUCAAAUUCAAACACAGAGGAGAGAACUUAUAGUUUGCGUGUGUUGGGGGGGGCCACAGAAACCACAGCGAGGAGGUGGAGGUGGUGUCGGGUUUGCAGCGACAGUGGUCGAGUUACAUAGAAAAUGAACAGAGGGAGAGAGAGAGGGCGUGUUGGCCGGUAGAACAGGUUUGGGCGAGGCAGUCAAGCGAGCUUCACACACACAGUGAACCAGAGGGAGAGAGAGCAGAGUCAGAUUUGUUUCCUUUUCAGAGAAGAAGACGAACACGGUGGCGGCGACCAACGAGCAUACAGAGGUCUCUGCCUGCACUGCCAGCUGCCUGAUUGGACAUAAUUUUAGCCUCGCCCUCUUGUGACGUGUCAGCAUGUCCUCAAAUAUCAACGUCUCCCUGGAGAACCCCUACGGUCAGGUAGCCAUUCCACGGGCUAAGCUCCACUCCUCCAGUGACUCCACAGUGAUCGCCAAUCCGAUGGUUAUAACCAGCAAUGAGAACCCGUACCAAGUGUCGAGCUCCGCCCCCCCACCAUACACGGUGAAGGAGGAUGGAGGGGGGGAUGAUGAAGGGGGGAGCUGCCGUGCCUGCUGCUACCGUUGCAGGAGAAAGAAGUGACAUCAUCGCAGCAAAUCGUGAUGUCAUAACAGUAGAAGGAUUGUGACUGGCUCAGAUUUAUUUAUUUGUUCUUCCAGAGGAAACAAGGAUGGAAGGAAAUGAGGAAACAAUGAAGGAAGGAGGAAAGGAAACUUCAUGAACUGGAGGACGUUUUCUCGCUGCGGCCAUUUUGUGUCUCAAAAACUUCAUGUUUGUGAAGCUCAAACCUCCGCCCCUCACCACCAUCCCUACCCAGAACUGGGAUUUCAGAGGCCAUGGGGACUUCUGUGGUUACGAGCAUUUGAGGGGUCAUGGGGUCUUUGUGGUGCCCUGCGGACUUUGGGGGUCAUGGGGACUUCGAGGGUCACAGGGACUUUUGUGGGACUCGGGGUCUUUGUGGGGUCCUGGGGGUUUUUUUUGCCCUUGAUGGUAUUUUUAUUUUUUUACUGGCAGUUUUUUGAUCAAUAAAUAAAAAAAAUAUUGGGGAGAUUAUUUUUAGACACAAAAUGGCCACCACUGAACCGCAGUUUCACUUCUGUGCUGUUGUCAAGAAACUUAUAGUUUUGAUGUUUUCCUGUAAACAUUAUUAGGCAUGAUUUUAUAGUGUUACUAGAUAUAAUCAAUAAUGUGGAUUAUAACUGAUUAUAUCUAAUACCAGACAGAGGAUUGUUCCACAAUCUUCUACAUCAUUAUAUAGUGAUGUUUGAAUUCAGAAUUCAGCUGAAAAAAAUCUUUAAAAGAUUCAGUUUAUUGAUUGAAACAUUAUUGAUUAUUACAAAAGUUGUUGAUCAUUACGAACUCCAAAUGAACUGAUAAAAAAAAUAUUUUUUAUCAGGUUGUAACAAAGCAGCUAUAAAUUAUACUGUUUGUUUUUGUUGACAAUGAUGAUGAACAUUUGUGUGUUGUUGUUGUUGUUUUUUUUAAUAUUUGACACAUAAUUGGGAUUAUUCUUGUUUUUUUCCCGUUUUCAUCACAGUGAUGAUGAAAAUCAAAUUAAGCAAUCAGAGCACAGGUCAUGUGAAAUAAAAUGUUACAUUUAAACCUUCAUCUCUGUUGCUGCUCGCACAACAUUAAAGUCUCAGUAACUGCGAGCCGAACAUUUCUCUGAUUUUUAGAUUCAUUCUUAUGAUGGGAAUUUUUAUAAAUUGUCAUUAAUUAUUGUUAAAAUGUAAAGUCAACAUUUAAUUAUUUUACUGUUAAUAAUGAAACAAUUAUUGAUGAUGUAGUUGAUCAAAUAUUGUGAUCGGAGCUGAUAGGAGGCAGAGCCCUGCUCAAUUUGGAUCUUGGACCUUUGAUUUGAUCCACAAGCAUAAACUAAGAUGUAUAAAUCUGUACAAUGGCUUGUGUCACAAAUGUGUCCUCCAGCACAAAACAAACACAAAUAAAAAAAAUAAUUUGAA